Molecule: ribosomal RNA, 503 nt
Filed under: uncultured bacterium
Lineage: Bacteria
Description: partial 16S ribosomal RNA
Rfam family: Bacterial small subunit ribosomal RNA
Source: RNAcentral
AUUGAACGCUGGCGGCAUGCCUUACACAUGCAAGUCGAACGGCAGCACGGGAGCUUGCUCCUGGUGGCGAGUGGCGAACGGGUGAGUAAUACAUCGGAACGUACCCAGUAGUGGGGGAUAACGCACCGAAAGGUGCGCUAAUACCGCAUACGACCUACGGGUGAAAGCGGGGGACCGUAAGGCCUCGCGCUAUGGGAGCGGCCGAUGUCUGAUUAGCUAGUUGGCGGGGUAAUAGCCCACCAAGGCGACGAUCAGUAGCUGGUCUGAGAGGACGAUCAGCCACACUGGGACAGAGACACGGCCCAGACUCCUACGGGAGGCAGCAGUGGGGAAUUUUGGACAAUGGGGGCAACCCUGAUCCAGCAAUGCCGCGUGUGCGAAGAAGGCCUUCGGGUUGUAAAGCACUUUUGUCAGGGAAGAAAUCUUUCAGGCUAAUACCCUUGGAAGGAUGACGGUACCUGAAGAAUAAGCACCGGCUAACUACGUGCCAGCCGCCGCAGUAA